This 40-nucleotide non-coding RNA is filed under the name Terrimicrobium sacchariphilum. Its description in RNAcentral is "Guanidine-II sequence". It matches the Rfam family "Guanidine-II riboswitch aptamer (mini-ykkC)". From Rfam's summary of the family: Simpler in structure and has fewer highly conserved nucleotide positions than the ykkC-yxkD leader. Despite this each of its two stem-loop structures directly bind free guanidine. The record is from RNAcentral. Lineage: Bacteria; Pseudomonadati; Verrucomicrobiota; Terrimicrobiia; Terrimicrobiales; Terrimicrobiaceae.
GAGAGGACGACCUCUCCUGAACCGCACACGGGACGGCCCG